GACGAACGCUGGCGGCGUGCUUAACACAUGCAAGUCGAACGGAAAGACGCUGCUUUUGUGGGGCGCUCGAGUGCCGAACGGGUGUGUAACACGUGAGUAACCUGCCCUUGACUUUGGGAUAACUUCAGGAGACUGGGGCUAAUAUCGGAUAGGAGAUCCUGCUGCAUGUUGGGGGUUGGACAGUUUCGGCGGUUGGGGAUGGACUCGCGGCUUAUCAGCUUGUUGGUCGGGUAGUGGCUUACCAAGCCUAUGACGGGUAGGAGGCAUGCGAGGGUGACCGGCCACAUGGGGACUAAGGUACGCCCCAGUAUCGACAGAGAGGCAACAGUGGAGAGUAUUGCAAAGUAACCUGACGCGUGAUGUAGCGGCCUCGCGUGCGGAAUAACGGGCUUCUGGGGAUAAACCGCUUUCGCCUGAAACGAACCGUGAUUGACGGUAACGGGUCAGGAAGCACCGGCUAACUACGUG
Molecule: ribosomal RNA, 468 nt
Filed under: uncultured bacterium
Lineage: Bacteria
Description: partial 16S ribosomal RNA
Rfam family: Bacterial small subunit ribosomal RNA
Source: RNAcentral